This 253-nucleotide ribosomal RNA is filed under the name uncultured bacterium. RNAcentral's name for it is "partial 16S ribosomal RNA". It matches the Rfam family "Bacterial small subunit ribosomal RNA", at positions 524 to 776 of the family's 1533-position model. The record is from RNAcentral.
UACGUAGGGUGCGAGCGUUAAUCGGAAUUACUGGGCGUAAAGCGUGCGCAGGGGGUUGUGUAAGCCAGAUGUGAAAUCCCCGGGCUUAACCUGGGAAUGGCAUUUGGGACUGCACGGCUAGAGUGUGGCAGAGGGGGGUGGAAUUCCGCGUGUAGCAGUGAAAUGCGUAGAGAUGCGGAGGAACACCGAUGGCGAAGGCAGCCCCCUGGGUUAACACUGACACUCAUGCACGAAAGCGUGGGGAGCAAACAGG